AAAAAUAAUAAAUAUAAACGGACAGUUCGUUAAACCGGAUAAGUUGUAACACAAACUCGCAAAUUUCGUUUGAUCAGGUUAUUUUCAUAAAAUAUUUCGAUACUUUCAAGUUUCAGUUCACCGGAGUGAGAUGAUUAGAUAAAGAUGGAUGAAGAUAGCUGUUUCUUUGGCGAUGGCGGCACUCUAGCUACGUUUCACCGGAAGAGUAGAUGUUUACGAUUCUUGCUGUAUUCUGGAGCGUUUCCUCAUGGGCGUCGCAGUUCACACACGUCACGGAUUCCGCCGAAGAAGUCGAUAAUUAAAACUGAACUUUUGGAUCGGAUAUAUGAAGACGCGCGCUGCAUUUUCCUUGACGGAGACGCACAGCUCUGACACUAGACAAUAUUAUACACUCAAAGGGACCGCGUUUCGCCAGAAGAAUAAAUAAUUACAAAUCGUAUUCGUCAGUGAACAUUUUCAAACUGGGAAUAAUAUAUCAUAAGCAGAUUGAAAUGUGUGAACGUUUCAGUGUAUCGAAGACUAAGUUUCGUAGCAGAUUUUGAUUCAGUCAC
Metopolophium dirhodum (rose-grain aphid) is the source of this 551-nucleotide long non-coding RNA. RefSeq lists it as uncharacterized. The record is from RefSeq and is a predicted model, not a curated record. The transcript is spliced from 4 exons. Lineage: Eukaryota; Metazoa; Arthropoda; Insecta; Hemiptera; Aphididae.